AUGUGUUAUGGAUAUUUGUGUGCAUAUAUACAUAUGUAUGAAUGUGUGUGCACACACGUGUAUGUUAAGUAAUUACUGUAAAAUGAAGAUACCUGUCAGUUGGUGUCAUCUGAGACUUUAGUGAAAUUGAUUGAAAGACACUCCAUUAGUUACUGAUUUGAGACAACUACUUUGUCAAUCUUGUUGGGUAGCUAUAGGAAGAUUAGCGUGUGUUUGUGUGUGUGUGUAUAUAUAUAUAUAUAUAUUCACACGAUAGUUU
Molecule: long non-coding RNA, 259 nt
Organism: Octopus sinensis (East Asian common octopus)
Lineage: Eukaryota; Metazoa; Mollusca; Cephalopoda; Octopoda; Octopodidae
Exons: 3
Source: RefSeq, a predicted model, not a curated record